Molecule: long non-coding RNA, 668 nt
Organism: Esox lucius (northern pike)
Lineage: Eukaryota; Metazoa; Chordata; Actinopteri; Esociformes; Esocidae
Source: Ensembl
CUCAGAAUACUGAGAGAUGCAGUUGUGAUGUUUGAUUUUUAUUAUUAUUAAAUAAAUUAGAUUAAUUGUACCGCAUGCUGGAAGACAUUAGGGAACUACUUCACUUGCCUGCACUUGCCUUUAGUAUAUUCUCAAAUUUGUACCUGUCAUUCUUCAAACCCAUUGGACAAGGUAAGCGCAAGUGUCCAAAAAGAUGGUUUGAGUUUCAGUCACAAUGCUUCCUGAUUGACUAGACUGCGAGGACCUGGCGUGAAGCAGAGCACAACUGUGUCUCUGGGCCGGAACCUAGAGUCUGAGCAUGAUUCCGACAGCUACUCUAGACACUUGGCAUCGGUGCACAACCCUGAGGAAUUCCAGUUCCUGCAGGCACUAACACAGACUGUGAGCCUCCUGCUCUGGAUUGGAGGUUCAGCCCAGAGAAACCCUGGAAUGAUGCAACAUGUGGAAUGAAGUUUCCCUCCCUGUGUUCUCUAAGGACAGAGUAGAUCUGGCAGAAUCAGACUUCAGUGUCUCUGAACAGACUAAGGAUAAUCAAAAGCAUGAAUGUUCUUGUGAAUGCUCCUGAUUUGACUAAUAAAACAAGUGCACACAUUCCUCUUGCCAGAAUUAUUGCCUCCAUGAUACUGCCCUGCAUUAAUCUUUAUACCUUCUAUACAAUGCAAACCUAC